Long non-coding RNA from Falco peregrinus (peregrine falcon), 3058 nucleotides. RefSeq lists it as uncharacterized. NCBI's taxonomy places the organism in Eukaryota, Metazoa, Chordata, Aves, Falconiformes, Falconidae. The record is from RefSeq and is a predicted model, not a curated record. The transcript has 3 exons.
CCAGUCCUCUGGCAUCUCACCAGGCUGCUGACAGAGAAAGAGGUGGCAAAGGAAUUGCCUAAAACAGUGACAAAGUCUCUUGUGGAUGAAUUCCAGAGGAAAGCAGGACAAAAUUACCUUCCAGGUUUGAGGGUCUUACUGUCCAAGGAAGAGGAAAAAAAACCCACUAACAACUUUUGGCUUAGAGGAUGGCAAGCUGAAAUCGUGGCCCUUAUCUGUUCUGCCUGUUUGCUCUUGUGAAAAGCAAGGGACAGGUUUUCGAGCAGGACAGGUUUUCAAGGGCUCAUUGUCAACAGCUGUAACCACUUUCAGCACAGUUCACACCCAAAGGCAGGACACGAGCUCCUUUGGGAGCUGGAUGUACCCCGGUGCCACACGGGACAGCAUGGUGGCCCAGGCCAGCAUCACAACAGGGGUACUGGCACCUGCGCUCAGACCUGCGCCCUGCAAGCGGGGAGUUUGCUAGUGCAAGCAAACAUGCUUGAUGAGACCAGGCUUUCCGCCCCAGCCACCUACCCCAAGCAGUUUACAAACCAAGCCCCAAAUUACACGAAGCUUGCCCAUCCCACCACCGCACAUUUAUGCAGUCUCGCCACUCUCAAGCAAAGUUUUCAGCCAAGCAGUGAAGAAGUUGAUGCUUAACGCUGAAGGGGGAAAAGAAAAAUUAUAAAGGGGUAAGAGUCAGUGGCAAAGAGCUGCGAAUCCCGGCAGCCUGCAGUGCCUGCAGUGCCUCUUGCUUGCCUGCCCCAGCUCUGGGUUACCCUGCUGCGUGUGUGACUCAGCCAGGGAGAGUGAGCACUGGGAGGGGUCAGAAAUAAAUGUGUUUGGAGGAGGAAAAGUGUUUUCUGUAGGGGAACAGACCAGUACGUAGGACUGCAUGGUGGAAAUCCAACAUAAGCCUUGCGCAAGUCUAAUUGCUAUGAUCUCCCAUGACUGUCUUCUCAUUCCUUAAGUAAUUGAGGCUUCAGUUCAGCAAAGCAUUUAAGCUCAGGCUUCAUUUUGUGCUGUCAGUAAGUGCUUUGCUGAACAGGGGCUUAAAGUAUCAAGCUUAUUGCAUGAGAUUUAUCCCACCUAAUUUUAGAUGUUUGCAGUGCAGAUAUCUACACCAGAGGUAGCGACCCCAGGCUUUGCUCAUUAUUAAUGAGGAGAAAUAAGCAUUUCUGAGCUGCUAUUCAUAAGGCCUACUCUACCUUGGAAUGAGAAAUACCAUUCAGUAGAAAUGUUUGCAAGAGGAGCUUAAAAUACCUAGAUCAGAUGUAAACACCUACAAUCCGGGUACCUACAAUCAUAUACCUGAACCGCAACAACUUCCGAUGACAGAUAAGUAGAAAUAAACAUACCAAUUGGAUGGAAUCAGGCAAAUGCAAACUGAAUUUUUACAGAGCAAUGAAGCCAAAAAUUAUUUUUUUCAGUGAGAAAGUUAAAGUUUUAAUUGCUUUAAAGACAAACAGUGGAAGAAAAGAACAGACCGUCAUUAUUCCCUUGUUUAAGCAUUAUUUCUUUCAUACUUUCAUUGUCUGAACUAGCUCCUCUGCGCUCCAUUGCUUACUGAGGGUUCCUGCGCACCAGCCUCACUUUUAGAAAGCUGCAGCUAGGUAAGGUUUACCUCCUCUUGCAUCAGACAGAUAUUUUUAGAGCAGGAAUCCCAAAAAUUCAAGCUAUUUCUGCAGAAUUAUUCAACUGAGAACUUGUGUUUCUCUGAACGUUGAAAACUGCUGCUCUCCCUGCAUAGGCAACUGGGAUGUAAACUUCUGGGAAUUACUGCAAAUAUGGGAAUGCCUGGAAUCCCUGUGGGAAAUAAUUGCAAAACCUUUAAUCCUUGUUAUCUCUGAGAGCACAUAUUUUUGUUUGCUUGAUCAGCAGUGGGAGAGGAUGACCGAUUAAUAUGUUGGGCAGUAAAGCAUCACGCUGUUUCUCUGUUCCCCUGCCCCAGACUGCCUCUGGGAAGAUGCUGGUUCCUGAGCAAACAGCAUGGAACAGAAGAGCAGCAGCAAUACUUGGUGUGCAGUGGUGGUGGUGUCAGGCAUUGUGUGGCAACUGCAAAACCAGCAGCCGAGACUGCAGUUGCUGAAAGUAUAACAGAGCAGCAAAUACACUUUUGUUAAGCUUAAGCAGUUGGUGCUUAAUGUGGUCCAAUGCCUACAGCAGGAGUCAAGAACACCCAUUCAAGAACUAAACUGAGGCAGUAAGUUAGGAGUAAAAUCACUUGACAUUUACUUCUAUGAAUGGUGGAGACAGACAGCUCCAGAAACCAAUUCAUCCUAUCCCAAGGAAAAGAUUUAAAAUUUGUGGGUUGCAUCCUUCUCUGUAUACAGCAGCCUCUUUCUAACUUCAAGAAAGUCACCAGAUCCUUAAAUGAGGUGGAUAGUCCAGUCCUUGAAUGUUACUAACAUAAAACAUGUACUCCUUAGCACUGGAAAAAUCUUUUUUCUCUGCACUUUCAUACCUACCAAAAUGAGGAACAGGCUGAGAUUGCUGCUUCUUUGUGCUGUCACAGGGCAGCUGAUAACAGAGCUCUGGACUCUGUGAAACCUGCAAAGGGAAAAUUAAUUUACAGGACCACAACACAUCUUUCUCUUUUGAUGUUUAAAGCUUUCUGAUUCUAACACACAUUAGAGCUUCUACCACAAGCAGCAGCCUGGGAGAUAUAUGGGGACUGAAUCUGAUAAAGGGUUUAUUUUACUUGGGGGCAGAUUCUGUCUGGGUGUUUUGUGGGACUCAAAGAAGAGGAAAUGAUUCACCGACAAAAGGGGGAACAGAUGCCUUGACUCACAGUUUCCUGAUUUGACCACUAGACAAUUCCUCUAGCAAUUCCUUAGCGCAUCAGAAGGAUGGAUUAGCUUCUUAAUUCCUUAAACAUCAUUAAAUGGUUGUCCUGGAUUAUACAUCCAGGCUUAUACAUACUACCUUAUACAUACUGCCUCCUGAGGGAAAAUCUCUAGGUUUUAUUCUGCAGGUUUGUAGAAACAGUGGCAAAAUAAGUGUAUUUGCCCAACAACCUUGUUGAUGCUAAUGGAACCAAAGUGCCAAGUCUGCUGCACUGCUUUUCUCUUAUGUA